Molecule: long non-coding RNA, 1489 nt
Organism: Oncorhynchus tshawytscha (Chinook salmon)
Lineage: Eukaryota; Metazoa; Chordata; Actinopteri; Salmoniformes; Salmonidae
Source: Ensembl
CAGACAGACAGACAGACAUGAAGCCACCAGACAGACAGACAGACAUGAAACCACCAGACAGACAGACAGACAUGAAGCCACCAGACAGACAGACAUGAAGCCACCAGACAGACAGACAGACAGACAGGUGUUUAGGAGUAAAUACUUUAUUAACAUUCUCCUUCAGCACCACUAGAGGAUCAGAACUCUACAGGAAACAGAGACUCUGGUCCUGGUUCCCAUGGCUACAGUGGUUAGUGAGUGAGGCAGGCGGAGACCCUCCUCUCUGCUCUGCUACAGUCCUUAAUGAGGUCCCUUUAACACAGAGGUCCCCUGACCCAACCACAGAAUACUGCUUAGCGUUAACUAUGGUGACAGGUUCUCUGAUCGUUUGGUAGAACCUCGUCUCCUCUGGGUCCCAACCUAAAGAUAUUUUACACUGUAAAAGUUUUUUAAAAAGGUUAAAAUAAUUGUUGACUUGUGAUAGGGUCCUCCUCUGUUACCCAGAACACACUGCUUCACCCAGACAGCGUCCCAACAGUCUAAAGUAGCUCGUCUUCUCCUCCUUCUGAUCUGAAAGACCUGGUCACCUGAAACCGAAUUCCCUCAUCAUAUAUUCUUUAUACCGUUUUCCUGCGCAGACGAAGGAGAGGUGAGGAGACGAGAGGAAGCAUCUUCAGACUAUUGAGAUUCAGCCGGCCUGAAUUCCUUCCAUUAUUAAAACAAUUCAGUUAGCGCUCUUGACAGAUAGCAUUUAGCCAACCGUUAGCUCUAGACAGACAGUUAGCUAACCGUUAGCUCUUGACAGGUAGCAGUUAGCUAACCGUUAGCCAUUGACAGGUAGCAGUUAGCUAACCGUUAGCUCUAGACAGACAGUUAGCUAACCGUUAGCUCUAGACAGCUCUUGACAGGUAGCAGUUAGCUAACCGUUAGCCCUAGACAGACAGUUAGCUAACCGUUAGCUCUAGACAGACAGUUGGAUCUAGACAGCUCUUGACAGGUAGCAGUUAGCUAACCGUUAGCUCUAGACAGGUAGCAGUUAGCUAACCGUUAGCUCUAGACAGACAGUUGGAUCUAGACAGCUCUUGACAGGUAGCAGUUAGCUAACCGUUAGCUAUUGACAGGUAGCAGUUAGCUAACCGUUAGCCAUUGACAGGUAGCAGUUAGCUAACCGUUAGCUCUAGACAGAGAGUUAACUAACCGUUAGCUCUAGACAGAGAGUUAACUAACCGUUAGCUCUAGACAGAGAGUUAGCUAACCGUUAGCUCUAGACAGUUAGCUAACCGUUAGCUCUAGACAGUUAGCUAACAGUUAGCUAACCGUUAGCUCUAGACAGUUAGCUAACCGUUAGCUAACCGUUAGCUCUAGAAAGUUAGCUAACCGUUAGCUCUAGACAGUUAGCUAACCGUUAGCUCUAGACAGUGAGUUAGCUAACCGUUAGCUCUAGACAGUUAGCUAACCGUUAGCUCUAGACAGUUAGCUAACCGUUAGCUCUAGACAGUUAGCUAAC